This 497-nucleotide ribosomal RNA is filed under the name uncultured bacterium. Its description in RNAcentral is "partial 16S ribosomal RNA". It matches the Rfam family "Bacterial small subunit ribosomal RNA", at positions 28 to 507 of the family's 1533-position model. The record is from RNAcentral.
GAUGAACGCUGGCGGCGUGCCUAAUACAUGCAAGUCGAGCGAACAGACGAGGAGCUUGCUCCUCUGACGUUAGCGGCGGACGGGUGAGUAACACGUGGAUAACCUACCUAUAAGACUGGGAUAACUUCGGGAAACCGGAGCUAAUACCGGAUAAUAUAUUGAACCGCAUGGUUCAAUAGUGAAAGAAGGUUUUGCUGUCACUUAUAGAUGGAUCCCCGCCGCAUUAGCUAGUUGGUAAGGUAACGGCUUACCAAGGCAACGAUGCGUAGCCGACCUGAGAGGGUGAUCGGCCACACUGGAACUGAGACACGGUCCCGACUCCUACGGGAGGCAGCAGUAGGGAAUCUUCCGCAAUGGGCGAAAGCCUGACGGAUCAACGCCGCGUGAGUGAUGAAGGUCUUCGGAUCGUAAAACUCUGUUAUUAGGGAAGAACAAAUGUGUAAGUAACUAUGCACGUCUUGACGGUACCUAAUCAGAAAGCCACGGCUAACUACGUG